Molecule: long non-coding RNA, 32282 nt
Filed under: Triticum aestivum (bread wheat)
Lineage: Eukaryota; Viridiplantae; Streptophyta; Magnoliopsida; Poales; Poaceae
Description: long non-coding RNA (TAES_LNC015707)
Source: RNAcentral
UGUUUUUUUUUUCUUGUUUUGUAAAUCAAAGCAGACCAACUCUUGAGUCAAGGGGAAGUCUUGCAGGUUACAAGUAGUAUAGUCGAUGGGUAUCCCUUGGGGCUCUCACAGGUUGGUUCAUUGCGUGCAUCCUCACGGGCCACCGGAUCACCGGCAGUGAACCUCCCUCAUCACUAGCUGCGCGGGUUUGGCGGUGCACAGACGGCACAUGUGGCCACAGUUGCCCAAGAUCACUCUGCUAUGCAGAAGACACAGGCACGGAGGCAGGGUCUUGAUCGGUGAAAGUGCAUGCCGCUGCAGCACCCAGCACUACAUGGCACGGACCACCCGCCCAAGUGGUGAACCAUCGAAUAGAAGUUCGCUGAAACAGCGCCCAGGCGAUGCAAAGUCCAGCCACCAUUACAGCAGCUCAUUCAUCCAAAUAAUGACUGAUAUAAGCUAUUCUUACAUAGCGUAUUGGAAAAAGAGUACACAGCCCAUCAUGGAUAGAAAACUAAAAGUCAACCUUAUAUGAUGUACCGGCAAAAUAAAGUACUUAGUGCAGCUUCGAUGGAGAUUUGGAUAGCCAGCACAGUCUGCCGUCGACCUCAAUUUAAUCAGAUGCCUAAAAGUAAGUACCAGAGAGUUACAUCAGUAGUUAUCAAAAAGAAUGGUCACCAAGACAAAAAAAAAAUCUCCGAAGAGAAUGGUCUACCAACACGAUGAAACAAAUCAAUUUAAUUAUCAAUAUGUUACUACAUAAAAUUAUCUCGUAAAGGACACUAUAACUGCAUCAACACACAAGGAAAAAUUAUGUCCUAAAAGCAUAAUGUACUGACAUUAUCAAUGCUCAAAAAUAUUAUAACAAACCUGAGCAAUCCAAUCAUCAAACAAAAGCCAAUAGCAAAUGCUCGCUGGUUACAACAAAAUGGGAAAUCAGACGGGUCGACCCAUAUCACCAGAGAGGCUAACUAAAUCAUGGUGCCAGAGGAGUCAAGGCAACUCAUGAGAACGGUGACUCGCUGCAUGCUAGGGGGUGGCAAGGAUGCCUUGUUCUAGGAGGAUAGAUGGAUGCAGGGCUGUAGGGUUCAGGAGGUGGCUCCCAACCUAUACGCGCGGGUCAGCCCUGGGAUGCGCUCGAGCUACACGAUGAGCCAAACACUGACUGAUGACGGAUGGGCCGCCCAUGUGGGGCCGGAGAAGAUCGUGGCAAGGCUUACCGGGCAAAAAUGACAAAUCUGACCUAUGAACGAAACUAUUUCACAAACUAAACUAUGUUUGAAAAAAAAUUCACCCGACUGACUCUUUUAUGUAGCACCCGACAUCUAGGCGUCACACUACACUGUGCGGCGCCUAGCUCUUAGGCGCUACUCGACUAGCCAGUGUCGCAUCCUAGGCUGCCUGAAAAAUGCUAAGUCAGUGUGCAACGCCUGAGAGCUAGGCGCUACACUAUAUAGUGCAGCGCCUAGCGUAUAGGCGCUGCACUGAUGGCCGGUAUACUUCAGCCUUUCGCCCAACAUCACUGUAAACAAGGCAAGCUUCUGUCGGAAGCAGCACAACACAGAGCAGUGUAUAAAUACGCUGAUGCAUGCAUGGAUAGGUUUGCAUGCAUCCCAGAACCAGAACUAGCGUGUCCGCCGAUGACGCCGUCGACGUGUUUCCGUCGCAUUGGGACAGGCAUGCGGAGCCUCGCUAGGCUCACGUGGGCAGGGCACGUACGCACUUGCUGCUCUAUCCAUCUCGUGUCCACAACAAAGGACUGAAACGAGCUAGGGGAUAGGGCGACAGCGACAUGUCUGAAGGUAGGUUAGCUAGAUUCAUAGAUGCUACGUAACCUUGGAUGGUGCAUGUCAUGAGUAGUGCAACGCCUAUACGAGGCGCUAAACUAUACAGUGUAGCGCCUAGCUCUCAGGCGUUGCACAUUGACUUAGCUUUUUUCGGGCAAUCUGGGUUACGACACUGGAUAGACGUGUAGCGCCUGGAAGCUAGGCGCUCCACAGUGUAGUGUGACGCCUAUAUGUCGGGCGCUACACAAAAAGAUCAGUUGGGUGAAAUUUUUUCAAACACAGUUUAGUUUGUGAAAUAGUUUUUCUAUAGGUCAGAUUUGUCAUUUCUGCCGGCUUACGGAGUAUCUCCACCUGUGGACCGAGACCGAUCAGAUCUUGCUGAACUUUGAUGCAAACGACUCCGUCACAUGGUCCUGUGAGAAGGACUGACGCUUUUCGACUAGGUCAGUGUACACAGCGAGAUUCUGGGGCAGGGAAGUGAUAUCUAAUAGCGAGCUUCACCUGGCGAUUGAAGGCCCCGCUUCGCUGCCGCUUCUUCGCUUGGAUGGCCCUCUAGAACAAGUGUUGGACGGCAGACCGGCUAGCCCAGAGCGAUGCCCUUUUUGCGACCAGGAGGAAGAAACCAUCAAUCACCUGCUGCUAGACUGUGUGUUUGCCAGAGAAGUUUGGACCAUCAUCUCUGAUGCCGCAGGCAAGCCGAACUGGGCCCCGACGAGGGGGGAAAGCAUCGCAUAAUGGUCUGUAGAGAAGGGUGGAUCAGGUCGGGCUUGCAAGGAUAUUAGGACGGUCUGAACCCUCGUGCUCUGGGAACUAUGAAGACAUCGCAAUGCCAUUGUGUUCGACACCGCCCCCCUUCCAUGAACCAUGUGAUCAGCAACAUCCAGGCUGAGGUAAUGGCAUGUAAGCAAGUGGGAAUGAUAAAAGAAGACGCCAGUACUUUCCUAGCGAAAUUAGGAGAGUGGGCUAGGAGGCCGUAUUAGGCGAACACCGUAGCAUAUGUGGGGUGGAGUUCGUGUUCAUAUUGUAGUAUGUAACAUCAUCGUGGAGGGGCUUUUUUUUCCGUUCCCUUCUUUAAUAUAGAGUGCGCACACUCGUGUGUAUUUAAAAAAAAAAGGAAUGUCGGGCCAUCAUUUGGAUGGCCCGUUAUGCUUCUUUGUCGUUUUGUGUGUGUGCGUGUGUGAUGUGUGUGCCCUUUGAUCUUGCUCUUCCCCUCGAUUGGUUGAUCGUUUUGCUCGGCUGCUUUUGCUUGUUUUCUGUGUGGCCUAUGUCGGGGUGUGCCACUUGAGUGUUGUGUUGCUUUGAAUGGCCAAAUAAAAGCAUCUACAACCGGACCCUCCACUUCUCCCUCAAACGUCCAAAACGCCCUCCCGGCCAGUGUCCGAUCAGAAAAAACUAACCCAACCGAACCCCCCACUUCGUCCCUAAACGCCCGGACUGACCGGCCUACCUCAAACUCGUCUCAAAUCUAAGGGCAAUAUGAGGCUGUCUGGUCACGUUCACGCACAUCGACUCGACCCCAUGUGCAGCCACUCAAUCCUCGUCUCUCUCUCUCUUCUCUUCGCUGAUGCAUGCCGCCCCAUCCGCGCCGCCUGUGACCUAGCCGCCGCGUCCGCGCAGCCCGCGUGCCCGCGCAGCCCGGAGCUCUCGCGCACCUUGGCCGUGUUCGCACCGCCCGCCUGCUGGCCGCCGCGUGCCCGCGCCGUAUGCUGGUCACCGAACACUCCCACAAGGAAAUAUUAUCCGCGACCACUUCCCUGAGGUCAUGGGGUUUGGAUCCACGCCUACCGCCGAUUUUAAUUGGGAUGAGCUCAACAUCCAAUCCCUUGAUCUCCAUGAGCUUGGUAAUGAUAUAAUUGAGGACGAGGUGUGGGAGGCCAUUAAGGAGAUGCCCGACGACAAGGCACCCGGCCCCGACGGAUUCAUCGGGCUCUUCUUCAAGAGAUGUUGGGGCUACAUCAAACAUGACAUCAUGAGUCAAUAGAUGUUUCGGCGCCCUUCGCACUAACAACCUCCAGUGGCUCAAUUCUGCCAAUGUGGUACUGUUACCCAAAAAAGAAGGGGCCAAGGGCAUUUCCGACUACAAACCCAUUAGCCUUAUUCAUGUCGUAGCAAAAAUCAUUGCCAAGGUGCUAUCCCUAAGGCUCGCACCCCACAUGGGUGCCCUUGUCUCCCACGUGCAGAGCGCAUUCAUUAAGAAAAGGAGCAUUCACGACAACUUCAUGUACGUUCACAACUUCGCCCGCCGGCUCCAUAAGUGCAAGACUCCCACCCUCCUUUUCGAACUCGAUAUCAAAAAAGCCUUUGACUCGGUCAAAUGGGAAUACAUUUCGGACUUGCUUCAACCAAAAGGUCUGCUAGAUAAAUUUAGAGAUUGGGUUGCAGCUUUGCUUUCCUCGUCAUCAUCACGGUUCCUCCUCAACGGCAUCCCUGGACAACCCAUUAAGCAUGGCAGCGGUUUCAGGCAAGGGGACCCUCUUUCGCCUCUGCUAUUCGUGACGGAGAUAGACCCACUUCACCACAUCCUUGAUCUAGCAACUCAUAAGGGCCUUAUUCACAAGCUUCGUGGACGAGGGGCCAUGGUGAGAACCUCCCUGUAUGCUGACGACGCGGCGGUUUUCAUGGCUCCGAUCAAGACAGACAUCGACAACCUGUCGAUCAUCCUAAGAGGCUUUGGGGAUGUCACGGGCAUGUGCACCAAUCUCUAGAAAAGAUAUGUUGUGCCCAUUAGGUGUGCUAGUCUCGACCUGGAGCACAUCCUAAGUAAUAUGCCGGCGACCCGGGCCUCUUUUCCCAUAAAAUAUUUGGGCAUCCCACUAUCGGUUUGGCAGCUUCGGAAAAUUGAUUUCCAUUAUCUAGAGGACAAAGUAGCUGCCAAGUUGGUCACUUGGGAGGGGCAGAACAUCACCACCAUUGGCCGAGCGGCGCUUGUCAAAUCUGUGGUUGCUUCUCAAGCGAUAUACUCCAUCACGUCGUUGAUUGUUCCGCAAGGAACUCUUCACAACCUGAAAAAGAUUAGGGGAGCCUUCCUUUGGUCUGGAUCUGACAAGACAACCGGCGCACAUGCAAAGUCAAUUGGGAAAUUGUUUGCCGUCCUUCUGCAUACAGAGGCCUCGGGGUGCUAAACAUUGACAAGUUUGGUCGCGCAUUAAGGCUGAGAUGGUUGUGGUAUGAAUGGAAGGAGCCGAGCAACUAUGGUUGGGUUUGGGUAACCCAUGUACUGUUCAAGACCAUGAUCUCUUCUAUGCAUCCACCAUGAUAGUCAGGGGCAAUGGUGCAAAAAACACCUUUUUGGGACUCCCCUUGGCUUCUCGGCCACAAGCCCAAGGACAUUGCUCCUCUGAUCUUUGAAGCCUCAAGGAGGAAAACUUGGAAGGUGUGUGACGCCCUCAAGGCGAACGCUUGGAUGCUCCAGAUCAAGAGGGACACCGUCAUCUCCGGAGACCACGUCCGGGAAUUCUUCACCCUUUGGAUGCUCACUCAUGAUUUUCACAUUGAUGACUACGCCGAGGAUGACAUUGUGUGGAAGCACUCCAUGGAUGGGGUUUACUCGACGUCCACUGCUUACAAGGUGCAAUUCCUGGGUUUAACGCUAUCUCCUAUGGACUUCAUGGUGUGGAAAGUCUGGGCCCCUCCGAAAGUUAAGUUUUUUGCAUGGCUUGCAUUGCAAGGGCGGAUUUGGACUGCCGACCGUUUGGAGCGUCGUGGCUGGGCAAAUUGUGGCAUUUGCCCCCUAUGUAAGAGAGAACAAGAGACGACCAUUCACCUCUUUGUUAGGUGCCGUUACUCUACACGGCUAUGGAACAUGGUCAUCCAAAAUUUGGGCUUGCACACAUGGACACCACCACUUGGCAUCUCCACGCAUCCCUCUUCGAAUGGUGGGACAAGAGGACCGACACGACGAACCCCAACAGGCGAGUUAUGGCCUCUCUCACUAUGCUUGUCUUGUGGACAAUUUGGAAUGAGAGAAACGCUCGGGUGUUCCGGCUCGGGUGUUCCGGCACAAGAGCGCGCCGCCUCCAAGCUUUCUCCAACUUGUAACUGAUGAGGCAAAGCUUUGAGUAACCGCCGGCGCUAAGAAACUAGGGAAAAUUGUAAUAAGUGAGUAAUUGUCAGGCCGUGUUGGGUCAGGUCUUGUAACACUCCAAAAACUCUAUCCUUCUCAUUUAAUAGAUUAGGCAAAUCUUUUGCCUCCAUUUCAAAGAAAAAAAUGGAUGGAUCUUCGCCUGCUACGAUAUGCUGGAUAUGUGCCAGUGAAGAUGUUGAUGACCUAGUGUGAGGCCGUCAUGGUCUACCAAGGCAUGCCCGACUUAGCGAGGCCAAAGGUCCUAACGAGAACUGCCCAGGCCAAAGGUCCGGGUAGCUGUGGCAUCGCCGUGCGAUAGUUUUUUUUUUUCCAUGAAUAACGAGAAGAGUCGUUGUCCGUCUUAUCCUGCGCCAGGCCGGCGAGGAUGAUCCAAUAGGUGACCGCCUCAGCGACCGUAGACCGUAUGCAAACAAGAGGUUGGCCAAAUGGCUACUUGUGCCUACGUAACCUGGAAUCCGCCGAACACCUUUCCUAUAAUUGCAACAUCUCCUACUCUGUUUGGCUCACAUAGCAGCGCAAUGGUAUGGAUGCAAUUCUUUACAUCCGGAUACAUGGAAGAAGAGCACAGAAAUCAUCACGUCCAUGAUCGACGGAGCUAGGCCGGAGUUCCUUCUGUCCUAUGGGAGAUUUGGCAGGAGAGAAACGGAAGCACUUUCAGAGGAAAAAUUGAAUCCUCGACUCCAAUUGUCAGGAGAACGCUGGAGUUAUGGAGGCCAGGUAGGAGCAGCAAAAUUAGAGCACCCUUUUGGGGAUCCACCGAGAGAAUAAUCAGUACUGAUGCCUGUACUCUUUUUUUAUCCUUGAUCCUUGGGUCACCUGACAUUCCACUUUUGCAUUCCUGCUAAUAUCAAUAUAAGCCAGCCAUCAGCUGGAUCUUUUAAAAACAAAAUCUGGUGACCGAGUAGCUCGGGAUAACAGAAGCAUGUGCCAGGGCAGCAAAAAUCCACAUUGCUCAAGGGUUCAAAUUACAGAGACAAGCACGCCCGCUUACACAACUGUUAAAAUUUGUUCUUUUCAUAACACCGCAUACAUCACGUUUUUCCACAGCAAUAUCGCUAGUACAUGAUGCCAUGAUCUUACAUGUUAAACAUACCAAGUCCAGUACAUGAGUACCCUACUCACACAUUGCUUUGCUUGUACAGCUUCGUGUCCAGCACUUGCUUACCACACAUCGCACACACCCCUGAAAUUAGCUACCAGUAUGAGCAAAAUUUUGGGAACUACUACAAAACAUGCUAAAAAUUGGCAGCCAUAAGUUUGAUCCUUUUACCAAAUAGCGUGCUAAAUACCAAGGGCACCUCUAGCUGAACCCUCAAAAUUUAACUCCUCAAACACCUUUAUCAAACCUUAACUCCUCAAUUUUGAGAACGGUUCUAGCAGAACCCGCGAAGUUGAGGAGGUUGGGGCACUUCUGCCCAAAUUUGAGAAGUGCAGUUAAAUCCUUUCAAGGGUUCGGCUAGAGUUACCCUAAGACUAUAUUACUAGAUAAAUUCCAUGAUUAGCAGACAAACUUAAUGUGCCAGAAAUAACCACCGCCAAAGAAAAACAAUACAUGUUGUAUAAACUGUUCCAAAAGGAGUUUGCUGCUUACCUUUUGAAUAGGCACAGGUGUGGCAGUAUUUACCGUCCUGGUGCACCUGUUGCUUGCAGAUUAUGCAUUUGGUAUUUCCAUAAGGAGUCCACCUGAUAUUUAGCAGUACAGCAGAGUUAGACUAUAAUAUCUUGAAACAACAAUUUGAACAUGUGCAAGUUAAGNNNNNNNNNNNNNNNNNNNNNNNNNNNNNNNNNNNNNNNNNNNNNNNNNNNNNNNNNNNNNNNNNNNNNNNNNNNNNNNNNNNNNNNNNNNNNNNNNNNNNNNNNNNNNNNNNNNNNNNNNNNNNNNNNNNNNNNNNNNNNNNNNNNNNNNNNNNNNNNNNNNNNNNNNNNNNNNNNNNNNNNNNNNNNNNNNNNNNNNNNNNNNNNNNNNNNNNNNNNNNNNNNNNNNNNNNNNNNNNNNNNNNNNNCAAACAGCUCAUUUACGACAUAUGUCAUCCUCUCCUUACCAUCUCUCCUGUCGUACCACCCUCUACAUCUCACCCCGGCUGACGAAUAUUGGCUAUAGGUGCACAUUGCAUCAAGAUCAUUCACCUUGGAAGAGUUUACAUAUGGAUAUCACAAGUGGACACAAGCAUCUUGGCCAAUAAAUGAAGAUAACAAAUAGCACAAUGAGAUCUCAAGGCUUCAACAUAAAGCAAUAUUUGAGUCUUAAGGUUCAACCAUAAGGCAAUUGAAAAUAUUUGUUCCUUCUCCAUAUCUAAGGCCACAAAACCGAAAACCGGAUCAAGACCAAAACCGGAAUAGCCGAAUUCUCGGUUUUCGAAUCCUCUUUUAAGGUUUCUAUUUCAGUUUUGCUGGAUGUAAGUCGCCUGAAUUUCGAAUUUGGAUCAGUCUAUCUUAGGGUGCAGGGGGGAGAAGCAUCCUUCUUGUCUAUCUUAGGGGUGCGUCAGGGUGCAGGUUCGCUGGAGAAAUUGGUAACUCGCCAGCUGUAAGGGAUGGCCCGGGGCAGCGGCAAGCAUGGUGGUGGGGGGAGGUCGAGGGGAGGGCGGGGCGGCGAGACGAUCGCAGGAGCGCCGCCGGCCGCGGGCGGAGGAGGCAGGCUGUCCGGCUGGCGGUUGUUGGCAGUUCAGAUCGAGGCCGGGAGGACGAAGACGAUGAACAGUGUUUUCAGAGGUAGAAGAAGAAGGUCUGGCCAUUCCUUUUGCAUCCAACGGCAGGGAACAAAUCGACUUAUCCCAAAAACAAAUUCAGUUGACUGGUCUCUAGUCAUUCCCUUUCUAUUUCUACUAAACCAAGUUAAAUUCAGCAGAACAACAACAUGGGCCUAAAGCCCAUUGUUCCAUUGAGCCCUACCUGGUACUAAGGUACAUGCUGCUGGCCGCCACUCCACUAAAGAAAGAGAUGCUGACUGCUCAUGUAAGCCUGAAGCCCACAAGUCACAACCCUAGCCAGGUCUUCAUUAGAUACCCUCACGAGAGUUUAAGCGAAAACCGAGCACUACGGCCAAUGGGCCAAGGAAUUGCAGCCACCUCGACCUCUGCAGCAGGCACAUCCAUCUCCUACGACGAAUGCGUCCGCUGUACCACCACAACGGGCACUGCCACCGUAGAAUCUCUAGCAGCAGUCGGCGCCGCCAGUCAUGCUCUGCCGCCCCGAACAACAGCAUCUCCAGGUCCUCUGGAGGCCAUUCUCGAUUUUUGCCAAGUGUGCAUGCCAUGCCAUCUUUAGAUCAUCCUCUCACCUGUUCUAAUAAUUUCUUCACGCCUCUCCCUGCUUUAAAACUACGUUCGGUGCAGCUGGGUUUAAACAGAAAAGAAAACCAAAUUUACAUUUAAACGGAAUUUUUGGUUUGUUGUUAUUGCUAAAUUCGGUUGUCAGCUGUGGCUAACCUAAUUUGGAAAAAAAUCUACAAGAAGCGAAUUGCACCCACCCCUAUUCCAUAUGAAUCCCUACCCCAUUAUGAGCCAUGUAAAAUCAAUACACUUCUAUCACAAUUCCUGCUCUCUUCCUUCCCCUUUCCUUUUAAUGCAUUACUCAACACUGCGUGCUCUUGGUGGCUGGAGAUGGUUGCAUUGUCAUGAAAUAAUCUGGACAGCCUGAUCUAGUUAGGAGAGGAAUGAGUCCACAAAGACGACUUUUUUCUCAAAUUUCCUUUGGGUGGUUCGAGCGUCAAGUACACGAGACUGGUAAGAAAACUCAACCAUAAAAAAAUGUAGUCACUGCCGAUAUUCGCAUGAUGAUCCAUUACCUCUUACAACCAAAGAUCCACCGUGAUUGAUUGCAAGAUGCAUUAUCCUAUUACUCUGCAACAGCUGUUUUAACAUAGGCUAAGAAAAUUGAAACCGGUGUAAUCACCCCAGUACCACGUCCUUAACAUACAAGUGAAAUCAGCGAUUACCAACCUGUCUAUAACAAUCUAAUAUUAGUACUAAUAGUGAAUUCGUGAUGGGAUGGAUUUUUCAACUUGCUCAAAAUCCAUAUCCAACAAAUCACCCCAGCACUCAGAUUCCCAUAACCGAUACCAGUCAGAAAGAUUCCGCUCAAAAUAGGGAAUUAUAACCUCUUCAACGUGAAAGGAUCGACUGGGGAAAGGAAGGGGGAUCCAACCUGCUCUUCUUGGAGAGGAGCUUGUUCUCGUUGAUCUUCCGGCCGCCGCCCUCGAAGGUGUUGCUGGCGCCCUCCUUCCACUUGUCCGGGACGAUCACCUUCCCCAGCUUCUUCUCGCCUGCAAAAGGAGGACCGCGCACGACUUAGAACACAAGACCCUCAUGGAAGACACGCACCCUAAUUCUAGGGCGGAAGAAAUUGACGAGAUCGAGUGGAAGGAUUGGCCAAUCCAGGAACNNNNNNNNNNNNNNNNNNNNNNNNNNNNNNNNNNNNNNNNNNNNNNNNNNNNNNNNNNNNNNNNNNNNNNNNNNNNNNNNNNNNNNNNNNNNNNNNNNNNNNNNNNNNNNNNNNNNNNNNNNNNNNNNNNNNNNNNNNNNNNNNNNNNNNNNNNNNNNNNNNNNNNNNNNNNNNNNNNNNNNNNNNNNNNNNNNNNNNNNNNNNNNNNNNNNNNNNNNNNNNCGGCCCGCCGCCGCCGCCGGAGAUCGUUUUUUUUUCUCUUGAGAUGCUGGUGAUCAGGAUCUGUCUGGAAGGGAAGAGGAAAGAGAUAGGACAGACCCGGGUCGUCGGGUCGGAUCGGGCGCCCCUAUGGGAAGCCUCGCGUCGGGGCUGCCCCAGAUGGGCCGGCCCAUCCGCGCGGGAGGCCACAGCCUAUUUUUUCUUUCUGUUUUCUAUAGUUCAAAAUAACAUGCAAAAAUGCACAAUGCUCACUGUAAAAAUGAUACAAACUUGCUGCAAAAAAAUUAUAUUAAGCCUUCAAACCAGACUACAAACUUUGAAUUACACAAGAAAAUAAUAAUAAUAAAGUAGGAUGAAGACAAUAAAAAUCGUACAAGUUCAUCAUAGAAAUGAAAAUUACACCAAGGGUGGAAAGAAAAACCUCGAAAUUGGGACAUACCAAAACAAAGACACGGUAAUUACAGGAACAUAAACACAGUAGAAAUCAUACAAGCUCAUUGUAGGUAUAAUAUUUCAAAAAAAGAUCUAGACGACGGAAGAAGAGCAGAUUUUUACAUGAUCGGUGACACAAAACUGAAAGAAACCAUGCCUCAUUACACCACACUGUAGGGCCCAGUUCUUUUCGCACAGGAUUCUACAGAAUCAAGAUUCUGGAAAAUUCUCCCAGAAUAUACUUCCCCCAGAAUCUAACACCGAGUUCUUUUCUGAGAUUGUAGUUUGAGAUUCUAGAAAGAGUUGUGUGCUGAAAUGUCUGUAUCACCCUUCGAGAGAAAUCAUUUGAUUAAUUGUUAACCGGCGAGGACCAAUCCAGCGGCGGCGAGUACCGGGACGGUGGCGGCGAGGUCAGGGGCGGCGAGGUGGGGCCGGCGGCGGUGCUGGAACCCUAGCGCACGGCCCUGCUCGAGAUAAGUGGGGAGGUAAGCGAUGCGAACCGUGGCUGGCUCGGUGGCAGUUUGGCUGUAAUAACCAGCUGCAAUAGGGGUACUCUAUUAAAUCCAAACGUUUUCUUUGGUGGGACUUGCCAGAAUCCUGAGAUUGUGGGAGAAACCAGGUAUUUUGAGAUUUUGGGAUUGCACUAGGAUUCUGGAGAAUCCGGUUGAGAUUUUGGAAGUUCAAUCGAGUUCUUUUCGCUCGGGAUUUUCGGGACCAAGAUUCUCCAUAAUCUGCUCAAAAGAACUGGGCCUAGAUCGUGAACAUUCACAUUGAUGAAAUUUCUAAACUAGAAACAACAGAGCAAAGCAAAAGGCUCACACAUAGCAACACACUAGUGAAGAAUUUACACUGAACUAUAUGAAGGAAAUAUGCUCUAGAGGCAAUAAUAAAAUUAUUAUUUUAUAUUUCUUUAUAUCAUGAUAAAUGUUUUUAUUCAUGCUAGAAUUGUAUCAACCGGAAACUUGAUACAUGUGUGAAUACAUAGACAAAACAGCGUGUCCCUAGUAUGCCUUUACUAGACUAGCUUGUUGAUCAAAGAUGGUUAAGUUUCCUAGCCAUGGACAUGAGUUGUCAUUUGAUGAAUGAGAUCACGUCAUUAGUGGAAUGAUGUGAUGGACAAUACCCAUCCGUUAGCUUAGCAUAAUGAUCGUUCAGUUUUAUUGCUACCACUACUAGAAAAACCCCUACUAAUGGCGCACCUAGUAUGGCCAUUAAUGGCGCAUCUGUGGUGCGUCAUUAACAGCACGCCAUUAGUAAUUUUUACUAAUGGCGCACCACCUGGUGUGCCAUUAGUAUCUGAUAUACUAAUAUACUAAUGGCGCACCGCGGGUGCGCCAUUAGUAUAGGCCAGGGUGCGCCAUUAGUAUGCCUCCCAGGGGCCAUGUAUAUCCAGGUGCUUUGGCAUACUAAUGGCGCACCACCACUGGAUGCGCCAUUAGUAACCAUGGCAUACUAAUGGCGCACUUACCAGUGAUGCGCCAUUAGUAUGCUUUGUCAUACUAAUGGCGCACUGUCAUGUGAUGCGCCAUUAGUAUGAAUAUUAGGUUUUUUUUAUUUUUUUAUUUUCUGGUUUUUGCACAGGUUACAAAAUGUAUAAUUUGACAAAAUAUAGAUAGCACACAUCAACAACAGAUUCAUCGAAUACAAUAGAAGAUUAGUCUUUGAAUACAAUUCAUCAUAUUAGUCUCCGAAUACAAUUCAUCAUAUUAGUCUCCAAAUUGAAAAGACCGAACAAAGAUAGAACAUUAUAUUACAAGUCUCGAGACCGCGAGUAGCGAGUUUGUCUUCACAUUACAAGUCGAUAUCGAUCAUCUAAACUACCAUCACAUAGAAGAGAGCUGCGGUCAUCACGAUGAGCAUCAUCACGAUGAAACUCGUCUUCAUCCGGUUCCUCCAACGCUCCCUCCCCUCUCCCGCUAGAUAGCGGGCGUAUCUAGAUUCGGCCUCGGCCCUAGUGGUGUACCCUUUGUAACUGUUACCGCUGAAUCGGUGAACCUGUCUCCGACACUCCUCCCAGUCAUCAUAGACUCCGGGAACCUUACCCUUGUACACGACAUACGUCGGCAUCGCUAUGCACUAGCCAAACGAAACGUUAGUACCAAUUCACAGACAAUACAUAAGCAAUAUAUAAUUAUGCAACAGAACGAUCGGAAGAGAAAAGCAAGACAUUAAUAGCAUCGAUUACAUCUAAGUUGAACGACUCUCGAAACCAAAGAGACAUACUACAAGUUCAUUAAAGUUUAAUUACAACAUGAGCCAAUCGAUGUUUCAGAACUAGACAACUCGACUCAAGGGACCGGAGCGUGGAUGAAGCCGCCGUCUAUCGUGGGAGUCAUGAAAGAACGAGCGUUGUCAUCCUGCAUUUGUAGCAUUGUGUCGAUGUCACUGUUGGACGGUUGAUUUCUGAGGUAGAACUGCCCCGAGGUACGAAGGACAUCUUGAUGGAUGAUUUCCGCAAACUCCGACUGGAUGCGAAAGAAUUCUUGUCGGAGGUCCGCGUCCUGGAUUGCCGACACGCUCGCGGCCCAAUCUUUGAGUUUACUCGGUAGCAGAAGUUGAUGAUGGUCCCGUACGAUCGCCCGCAUGUGAUGGAUGGCGUAGUAGGCACCCUUCUGACCGCCAGGCGGCUGCUUGACGCAGCAGAACAUCGUAUUGUGGGAGAACACGUGCUUGCCGUACUUACGAAUAGGCCUGGUGAAGGUGCCUCCAGAUUUGGCGUAGCCGGGGAGAACAUCAUCAAGAACCUUCUUGACAUUUGUGUAGUCUACGUUCGACUGACGGUCCAGGUCGAAAUACGUGGCCAUGGAAUAUUUGGGGCUUAGGAGGAUGAGCGUGCAACGUGUGUCAUUGCAGAAAACACGGAAUGUUAAAAGAAAAACGAUCGAAAUGUAAGAAUUCAUAUGUUACGGGCCGGUUGAGGGGAGGACUUACUCGGGAAAGUAAGGCACGAGGAAGUUAUCCUUAUCUUGGUUUGCCAGAAUGACGCCUUCGAGGUAAGAACUCGCGACUUCCCGGUCCCCAGCGCUGCCCAAGAUCUUGGCACGCAUGUAGAAGGGGUCGACUAUCACGAUGUCCGGGGUCUUGUCGCGAAUGAUCCGCAUCUCCAUACUCAGCGAAAAUAGCCGAACAAAGGUGUAGUGCAGCGGAUGAAGGUUCAACAUAGCGUGGAUGUCAUCAAAACGCAGGACGAUCGUACGCCCGAUGGAGUUAUCCACAAAGCCCUUGCCCUCUGGCACCUUGGCCGCGAAAACUGGGUAUGCCACAUCCUUCUCCCUGAGACGCCGCUUCUCCAAAGAAAGAACACUGUCAUGCAGACUCCGCAUAGCACCGGUUGCAGCAUUGAGCAUAUUUGUCGGUAGCAUCGCCCUACCCGCCACAUGCACCCUCCUCGAGAUAUCCUGCGGUGAAGGUGGCCCGUCCUGAGCACGGAUCGUACUCGGUGCCGGCUGGCUCGCACCCUUCUUAGUCUUUCUUUUGCGUGCCUUCUUCUUCUCCUGUAAUGGGACCGAGUUCUGCUCACAGACCGCCUUCUUGAGUGUGUUGGGGCUGAUAAUAUUUCACACCUCGCCUAUCUGAGGCUCGGUGAAGUCGGCAGCUGGAGGCGUCUCCUGAGAGCUGAACGCCAGACGGCGCCUGUUGCAACUUGGCUUCUCCGCGGUACCAGCUAGAUCGCACACGUCUUUUGUUGGGUUUGGUUCUUGAGAAGGAGGCCCCAUGAAGUCGCCAUCGUACCCAUGAUCGGCAAAGUACUGAUCGACGUUGCCAAAUGUAUCAUCGUCGUCGUCAUCGUCGUUCUGAUCCUGUGCCAUAUGCAUGUUUGGAUCCAGUGGCAUAGGGAUGUCCGGCACCGUUACGGCGGUCUUGCCAUGGGGCCGACUUGGCGCCGGCACGACUGGCGGUGUUGUCUUUGGGGUGGUGUCCCCCACCCCCAAACGAAUCUGGCUCUUCGGCCAAAGCAGGGGCCAGCUCAGGCAGGCGCUGAGGGUCAUCACGUCUUCAUCGUCGGCCCCGACGGGUUGAAUCGGAGGUAACAAGUCGUCGCAGCCUGGCAGCACCCGAACCAGUUGAACCCUAAACAAGUUGGGUGGCAUCUGGGUACCGUGGAACAAGGGGUUGCCCGGUUGAACGAUUUUGCCCUUGGCGACAUCGACCAACUCGUUGUUCACGAAGUGGAGGAGAGUGCACGGAACGUCGGCGGCACCCUGCGAAAACAUGUAGGGCGUCAGGGAUGCCCAGUCAAAGGCAAGGAGAUGAAGUCCUCGGCCGAGAGAGGCUUAAUUAGUUACCGUGAUGAUGGCGUCGAGCUCGGCUAAUGUCGACGCACCGCCAACGGCGGGCGUGCAGUUGACGAAGGUGCCGCUUGCUGCAGAGGUGCCGGCCGGCGUACACCCGGGUGCAUUAAGCUCCCGUGCCGGCGUUGGAGACACCAAUGUCGCCUCCGCCGGAGGCACCAAUGGCCCCGCCAUCGCAUUAUGCGAGUUGCUGGCCGUGAAGCUAGGAAUCGGGGGCGGCCCCUGUUGGCCGCUCGCAAUCCACGCACUCAACCCCGAGAUCAAGGUAGGCACAAGGGCGGUGAUCGUCGCUCUGAGUCGUUGUUCCACUUGCUCUUGGACAAUCUCCGGAAUCCGCACCACCUGUGCCUUGAGUUCUUGAACCUCUCGCGCCUGGCUUUCCGAGCUGGUCUUUUUCUCCUUCCGCACACCAGCGGUAUAGUAUGACCCCCAUUUUGUCGACAAGCCUUUGCCGGCCACACGACCAGCUGACGUCGGCUUACUGAGCUUAUCCUUGUUCUUCAUUACAUUCAACCCCCUAUUUAGAGUGGUGUCCCAAGGGUUGCUCUUAGUCGACCCCGCGCUACUGCUUUCAGUCGCCUGCGGAAGGAAUGUGAACCAUUUAGAAAUUUGGCUUCAUUAAUUAGAAUGCAACCAUAUGGAGCUAAUUACACGGGGGUGUAUUCCUUACCAGAACAAGCUCAAGCUGCCUGGUCUUCGGAUCCGUGGUAAGCUCCUUUGUUUUCGGGUCCUUCUUGUACCGGGCCCUGACAAAGUUUCUGGUCUGCUUGUCACCGUAUUUAUCGAAGAGGGGCGGUAGGCCUUGCUCGGCACGGUCCGCCUCCUCCUUGUCCCAUAUAGGCUCCGCCACUCUGUAACCGCCGGGACCGAGUGUGUGUUCCCCUAUGUUCAGCUCCCGCAUUUGUUUCCCCCACUCACUUGAUUGGGAGCUUGCGGUGCUCGAGCAAUUGAUCUUGAAGUCGUUGUAGUCAUCUUCGGUGAUCGAAGGAUUUUUCUCCUUGAUCUUCUGAUAACUCUCACCUUUCUCAAUCAUUCUCUUCACAUUGCUUUUCCAAGUAGACAGGGCCUUGCUCAUCUUCGUGAGGGCAGCAUUAUUCACUUUAUUCCCUUUGAGGCUUGUGUUUUCAAAUUCAGCGGGGAACUUGUAUCGUUCGUGCAGCUUCGUGAAGAGGAGGUUGCGCAAAUUCCCUCGGUCAGGAUGCCUCAGGUUCUCGGUGUUGAUCGAGACGGUGCUCCGGACAAUGCACCCGAGCUGAAGCGAGUACCCCUUGACUAUUCGUUCGGGCGCCGUUGGAUUCCCGUUGGAGUCCACUUCAGUAACUUCCUCCUUGAGGGUGCGGAGCACGAUCGGGCGCCGGUCCUUCCGUUGCCUCUUCGGUUGGCUGCCAUCUGUGCGUGCGCCGCCAUCAUCAGUGGUGGCAUCCUCGGCGGCACCAUCAGUGGUGGCAUCAGUGUGGUCAUCCUCGGCGGCACCAUCCGUGGUCUCAGGAUCGAUGGGGAAGGCGGCGGCCUCAUACAAGUGAGGUUGUUCCUCCAUCUCCUGGGACAGCUCCCAGAAUGCCUUGCCGCCCGAACCCCCGGCCUCAUCGUUGUGGGCCAUGUUUCUCUCUAAAUAGAAACAAAGUUUGGUCAAAAAGUUGGUUAUUGUCAAGGAACAAGAUCAUGGUCUCAUCAUUUAGGGUUUGUCAACACCGAGGCAUCCUAAAAUCUAAGCUUUUAUCAUUGAGGGUUUUUCGACGCCGAGGCACCCUAAGUACGCCGGGGCACUUGAUCCUACUUAAUUAACUACUAAGAUACCCCGGCCCAUGCAUUAGUCACAAGUACCCCAUAUGUCCUAUUUUUAGCAAAGUCAUGCUAAAAUUCACGGAAAAUUUCAGCAUGACCUUUGCUGAAAAUAGGACAUAUGGAGUACCCGAAUUUGCCGGAACGGAAGUUAAUCGACAUUCCGGCAAACUCAAGGGCCUCUCGGGGUACCUGCAAUAUCAUCACGACACGAUGGUCGGAGACAAAACCCAGCAAACUAGCACCACAAAAAAGUUAACAUCCGCCUGAUUAUUAUGAGGACUUCACUGCCACUGUUUACUCAAACUUAAGUUAGUAAUUAAAAAUAUAAAAUAGGAUAACCCAGUGACAGGACUGUUGGUUGAUGUCACAAAAAAGUUGCAAAUCUCAACAUGUUCUACAGUUGUUAAAAUUAUCUUACUGUAUUUAGAACAAACUAACACCACAGAGUCUACCAAUUCAGGUAGAAGCCAUCAUUCAUUACAAAUUUGAAUAUAUGAUAUUCCAGAAAAUAAUCUGUCUACAAAAUGAGAUACAUUCCGUUUGAACUACCAAAACUGUAACCAACGUUAUUUACCUAAUUAUGAAAAAAGUGCAGUACAUAUAAAUUAUUUCAUCACUGAGAGGAGAUAACCAAAAGUUUCCAAGCAAUAUGAUUAAGAAAAUGGGAUUUAGGCAUCCAAAUGCCACAAAAGACCAAAUCACAUUUUUAAACCAAGUUACACAAAGAAAAUGCACCUAAGCACCAAGAGGAACUGUUACAACUCCAUAAGGUAUAUCCAAGUCACUGCUACUCAUAUUCAAAAAACCUAACUCCAAUAUAACCAGAAAGAUUGUAAAACAUUAUAUCUCCCUGCUGACACGAACUGAAAGCGUAACAAAAAUACCAUCUUCUUUUGUUGAUGCGUUGGUGUUUUAGAGUAGAGGUAAGAAAACCGGAGACCAUAUAUGUAGUUUCUAACAUAUGCAAGAUUACUUAAAAAUUGGAGAUGCAAGAUAGUAGUAUAUAGAAGAAGAAACAAGAGAGAGAUGCAAGAUAGUAGUAUAUAUAGGUGAGUCAACCUAUUAUUCUAGGCAGCUGCCUUGCUAGUGAUUCGGUGUCGUCGCAACUGGAUCCCUCCCACUCGACCUGCGAUCUUCUACAAGGGAAAAGUAGCAGCUCAGUCAACCACCAUAUAAUUAUACAAGGAAAAAAUGCUACUUGGCACAAGUGUAAACGAGAAGCUUGGGGUAGCAGCAGAUUGAAGUGAUAAAGUGCAAAGGAGAAGCUUGAGCUAGUAAACAAUUUCUGAAUGUUAUAAAGUGGGGAAAGUAAAAUAAAAUUCAUGACUAGUCAUGGCACUAGAAAAGAGAUGAGAUUUCACAAAACCAGAGCCAAGCAUAGUCCAGAAUGUCAAAUUUUCAGUUAGUUAAUUAUUACAGUCCUUUGCUAAAAGAGAUGAUCCGUCCAAGAAAUUUAAUACUAGAUGCAUGCAGUCUGUUGAGGAUCUUUUAGUGAAUGACUAACAACAAGUAGCCGAGCUUGCCCAAGAAAGAUUAGAUUCAGAAGUGCUGGCUGCUGCUAGUGAAUGGAGCUGACAGUUAUACAGUGUCAAUUGAUAGUAAGUAGAGUGAGAUGAUCAAACGUUUUUGCUGAAUAGUAGUGGCAGUGUAAUGUUAACUAAAUACAGUUGGCAGUGUAUAUAGUGUUAAUUGACAGUGGCUUGUCCUGGAUAUAACUCAUUUUCUAGGUUUACCUUGGGUAGAUAGCCCAUGAAUGCGGAACAGAUACUUACAUUCAUGCCGUGAGAUAAACUUAUUUUCAGGUAUAAACCAUGGACAAUUACCCGAUGAUACAGUGCAUUUUUCUUCAGUGUAUGUCCAGUGCAUUUUUCUUCUUCUUUCGUUGAGUAGCAUAAAUUAGACCUAUCAUUGUGUAAGAUGCAGGAGUACUUCUUAUACUCUGUGGCAUUUCCAUACUUAGCCAAGAGUCCCCAUUUCUUAUAUUCUGUGAGAUGCAGUCAUCUUUUACUCCAGUUCUUAUAGUAUUUUGGAGUACAUUGCCUGUUAUGCUGGUUGCAAGGUUAGCAUAGGUUCAGAAAUGGGGACUAAAAAACAGUGAUUUAGUUCUCCAAUUCAAUUUUCAUUUUCAAGUUUAAAUUUGAAUAUCAACAGUAGUGAUUUUACACCCAGUUCAAUAGUGAUUUUACCUCGAUUUCAAUGGUAAUUUCAGCAGCAGAGUCGGGGGCGGGGACUAAAAAAUCUUAACCCUAACAGCAUAGUGGAGCGCGUCUGUUAGCAUGUCUUCCCUUUCUUGUUAGCAUGUCUCUCAAAAAGAGAAGCAAUGGUUCCGAUCCUCUUAAUUCUUCAAUAAUUACAUUCUAUCAAUCAUAAUGACAUAGUUGAACAAAUUAUAUGCAAAAUUAUGUGUAUGAGUUCAUCAGUUCAUCUACUUGUGCACUACAUCUAGUGAGAGAAGGAAGCCCGGUAAUGUGUACUGCAAAAUUAUGAACUCAUACGCAUCUAGCCGAAAUCAUAAUGUACUGCAAAAUUGUGCAUAUGAGUCAAAUUCAGAUGGAUGGAGACGUACUGGAAAAUCACAUUGAUAUACUGCAAAAUUAUGUGUAUGUGUAGUGUAAAAUACAGAAGGGGAUGAGGUACCUCACUAUCUCUCUCUGAAGAAGGCUUGAUCAGGGGAUGAGGGGUAUCAACUGCGGUCGGCCGGCGUCAGGGAGAUCCGGCGGUGGGCCGACGAUCGCCUCCAGCCACGGAGAUCGCCUCCAGCCACGUCUCCUCCACGAGCAGCUCCGGACUUGGCAAGGCGGAGGUUGCGGCGCGCGCGGGCGAGGGCGAGGUUGGUGUCGGCCCUGCGGCGCUGCUCCGGCGAGAGUGGGGUGGGGUCGGAGGGGAGGAAGGGGAGGAUGGGGAGAGGGAGGCGUCNNNNNNNNNNNNNNNNNNNNNNNNNNNNNNNNNNNNNNNNNNNNNNNNNNNNNNNNNNNNNNNNNNNNNNNNNNNNNNNNNNNNNNNNNNNNNNNNNNNNNNNNNNNNNNNNNNNNNNNNNNNNNNNNNNNNNNNNNNNNNNNNNNNNNNNNNNNNNNNNNNNNNNNNNNNNNNNNNNNNNNNNNNNNNNNNNNNNNNNNNNNNNNNNNNNNNNNNNNNNNNNNNNNNNNNNNNNNNNNNNNNNNNNNNNNNNNNNNNNNNNNNNNNNNNNNNNNNNNNNNNNNNNNNNNNNNNNNNNNNNNNNNNNNNNNNNNNNNNNNNNNNNNNNNNNNNNNNNNNNNNNNNNNNNNNNNNNNNNNNNNNNNNNNNNNNNNNNNNNNNNNNNNNNNNNNNNNNNNNNNNNNNNNNNNNNNNNNNNNNNNNNNNNNNNNNNNNNNNNNNNNNNNNNNNNNNNNNNNNNNNNNNNNNNNNNNNNNNNNNNNNNNNNNNNNNNNNNNNNNNNNNNNNNNNNNNNNNNNNNNNNNNNNNNNNNNNNNNNNNNNNNNNNNNNNNNNNNNNNNNNNNNNNNNNNNNNNNNNNNNNNNNNNNNNNNNNNNNNNNNNNNNNNNNNNNNNNNNNNNNNNNNNNNNNNNNNNNNNNNNNNNNNNNNNNNNNNNNNNNNNNNNNNNNNNNNNNNNNNNNNNNNNNNNNNNNNNNNNNNNNNNNNNNNNNNNNNNNNNNNNNNNNNNNNNNNNNNNNNNNNNNNNNNNNNNNNNNNNNNNNNNNNNNNNNNNNNNNNNNNNNNNNNNNNNNNNNNNNNNNNNNNNNNNNNNNNNNNNNNNNNNNNNNNNNNNNNNNNNNNNNNNNNNNNNNNNNNNNNNNNNNNNNNNNNNNNNGGGUGCGGGGGGUCGGCGGCGGCGGUUGAGUAGGGGAGGGGUGCGGGGGGUCGGCGGCGGCGGUUGAGUAGGGGAAUCGAGAGGGUGCGGGCGGUCGGCGGCGGCGGCCGGUGGACCGGAUCUGGCGAGGUGGGAUAGCGAUCGAGAUGGAGGAGGAUCGAGAUCGAGUGUCCAUGAAAUUAAAAAAUAUUCAUGAUAGUUCAAAAAGUGCCCAUGAAAUAUAAUCGAGAAAUGAAGUCUACGAUUUAAAUACAAUCGAUCUUAGCUAGCUAUCUGUUCACAAUCUUCUUGCCCUUCUUUUUCGCAAAUGGAGUUCUUCUAUGGAACGGACGUCCUUUAGGUAGGGUGGUCCUGCUUCUUCUUGUGGUGUAUGCUGCUACUUCAUCAUCGUCGUCAUGUUCGAUCCUCGGGUCGCCGUACUUGUCGAAGUCUUGCUCAUUGGUUACUCCAUCCAUUCCGAUGAUCUUCCUUUUGCCUCUCCUCACGACAACACGACUGGGCUUUGGCGGGUCGGUAAUGAAGAAGCAUUGGUCCACUUGGGAAGCCAGUACCCAUGGCUCAUUUUUCGCAGUGACGUUUGCGCCCGCGGUCUUGGAUUUGGCUUCGGGUAUAACCAUGGUGGUGAAAUACCGGUCUUCUUUUAUGACGUUCUUGGCCCAUCUGACACGGAACAUCGGGACCUUCUCUCCAGCGUAGCUCAGCUCCCAGAUCUCCUCGAUCCUUCCGUAGUAUCUGUCCUUGUCGUUACCGGUGUAGGAUUCCAUCGUUACCCCGGAGUUCUGAUAACCAUCGCUCUUCAUGUCCUUGGCCUCGGUGUAGAAUGUGUAGCCGUUGAUAUCGUACGCCUCAUAGGUCAUCAGGUUGUGCUCGGCGCCCUGUGACAAGGCGAAUAUGAGUUGUUCUUCCGCGGAAGAAUCCUCAUGUAAAGGGUACGACAGAAGCUUCUGCUUGAACCAAUGCGUGAAACAUGAGUUGUGCUCUUUGAGUAUGUCUCCGUCCAUCCUCUGUUGGCCUCGGUCAUUGUACGUCUUCUUAAUAAAGGUUUUGUGCUCUACCACCCAAGGAUCGACCACGUCUAUGUGUUGUAGCGCGACUAGGUUUGCUCUUUCAAAGUCGGCGAGUCGACCCUCGAAGUUGACAUACAUUUCGCGGCGACCCUCACGGUGACCCCAUCCAGCGAGCCUGCCGAGGUGCCCGUUGACGGGCAGACCAACGGGGUUCUCGAUGCCUAGAUAAUUCGUGCAGUAGGAGAUGCACUCUUCGGUCAGAAAGCCCCUGGCUAUGCUUCCCUCUGGACGUGACAUGUUGCGAACGUAUCCUUUGAUGACACCAUUCAUCCUUUCGAACGGCAUCAUGCUGUGCAGGAACGUCGGCCCAAGUUGGAUGAUAUCCUCCACUAUAUGGACCAGCAGAUGCACCAUAACGUCGAAGAAUGCGGGCGGGAAGUACAUCUCAAGCUCGCAUAGUAUCACCACGAUCUCUUCCUGUAGCCUUCUGAGUUGCCUCACGCCAAUCGACUUCCGAGAGAUGACGUCGAAGAAGUUGCAUAGGCCAAAUAGCGUUUCAUGGACGUGCGCGUCCAUGAUCCCACGGAUUGCAACUGGAAGUAUCUGCGUCAUCAGCACGUGACAGUCGUGAGACUUCAUCCCGCUGAACUUCUGCUUCGCUGGGUCUAGGUAUCUGCUUAUCUUUCCCGCGUAACCGUAAGGAAGUUUUACUCCUAGGAGGCAGGUGAAAAACUGCUCGAUCUCCUCCUGACUUAGAGUGAAGCACGCGGGAGGGUAGUCAUUUCCGGUCUUCUUGGCCUUUUUGCCUUUGCGACGACUUUCUGUGUCCUGCUUCGCCUCAUCAUCAUCAUCAUCAUCAUCAUCAUCAUCAUCAUCAUCAUAUAUAGCGUGAAGCUCCUGCCUGAUGCCCAUUGAUUUCAAGUCUGCCCUUGCUUUCGGCCCAUCUUUGGUCCUCUCUGGCAUGUUGAGCAGGGUACCAAGCAGACUCUCGCACACGUUCUUCAUGAUAUGCAUGACAUCAAGGCUGUGAGGCACACGGUGGAUCUUCCAGUACGACAAGUCCCAAAAAACAGACCUCGUUUUCCAUACCUUCAGCAGCGGCUCUGGCGCCUUUUGCUUCUUUCCCGGCAGUGGGCAGUCUUUCCAAUUUUUCAACAGCUUGUCUAUUUCCUCGCCGCUCCUCGUACACGGGCGUUUUCGGGGUUCGGUUUCACCAUCGAACAGAUCCUUGUGUUUCCUCCACGGGUCAUCGUCGCGAAGCCACCUUCGAUGUCCCAUGAACACGGUUUUCGAAGACCCGGGAUCUCUAUCUAGCUGGCGAUACGUUGUGUCAUCCAUGCACCUUACGCAUCCAGAAGAUCCGUGGACUACCUGCCCCGCAAGAUAUCCGUAACCGAGAUAGUCAUGCAUCGUCGUGAGCAGUGCGACUCUCAUAGGGAAAUAUUCUUUCUCUGCGGCGUCCCAUGUAUUGGCUGGCGUUUUCCAUAGCGUGUCAAUCUCCUCUUUCAGCAGCCCCAGAUACAGAUUGAUGUCGUUCCCUGGUUGUUUCGGCCCUUCAAUUAGCAUACUCAUGUGAAUGUACUUCCUCUUCAUGCACAACCAGGGGGGAAGGUUGUACAUCCACACAAACACAGGCCAGGUGCUAUGUGUGCUUCUCUGGCUGCCAAACGGAUUGACUCCAUCGGUGCUCGCGCCCAGCAUGAUGUUCCUUGGAUCGUUCCCAAAUUCUGGGUAUUCGAAGUUCAACGCUUGCCACUGGCUCGCAUCCUUAGGGUGACUCAGCAUCUUGUCUUUUUUAUCUAUCUCCGGAUCAUUUGCGUCAUCUUCUCGCUUCUUCUCCUCCCUAUCCGCGUGCCAACGCAGGAGCUUUGCUACCUUAGGGUCCGUGAAAUACCGCUGCAGACGAGGAGUGAUCGGAAAGUACCACACCACUUUUCGAGGAGCUUUCUUCCUCUUCUUGUAUCGAGUGACACCGCACACCGGACAUAUGGUAGACUCCGCGUGCUCGUCCCGAUAAAUGAUGCAAUUGUUCAUGCACACAUGGUAUUUCACGUGCGGUAAAUCCAGAGGACACACGAUUUUCUUCGCCUCCUCGAAACUGGUCGGGCACUUGUUCCCCUUGGGAAGACGUUCGUGCCAGAAUGACAUGUUCUCGUCGAAGCAUGCGUCGGUCAUUUUGUGUUUUACCUUCAUCUCCAGAGCCACGAGCGUUACUUUCAGGUGGGUAUCCUCGGGCCUGCAUCCUUCAUACAAUGGAGUAACCGCGUCUAACUCAAGUUGAUCCAUCUUGGCUUUCUCUCGGGCGGCAGCUCUUGCGUUAUCCGUCUGCUUGAGAAGCAGCUCUUGAAUAUGAGGGUCCUGCACCCAGCCCAUCGAUGGUCCAGCGUCGUCUGCUCCGCCGGCAUCAUCAUCAUGUCCUGCAUCUUCUACAUGAUGACUGUGUAUAGCAUCACCGUCGUGAUCUUCUCUUGGGGAUUCUUCGUCUUCUCGCCCCCCCGAGCCGCGGUGGUUGUCUUGCUGCCCUUCCUCAUUUCUUGCCCGGCCCCCAUGGACGACUUUGUAGUCAUCUUCAUCACCUUGCCACCGAUAGCCAUCCAUGAAACCACGCAAGAGCAGGUGGUCCCGCACCUGCCCGGAAUCCGGGUCCGCAAUAAGGCUAUUCAGCUUGCAUCUUCGACACGGACAUCUUAUCUCCGUCUCGUUCUUUUGAAGCAUCUCGGCCUUCGCGGACCUCAAAAACCUAUUCACGAUGCCUUCGGUCAUCGUGCGGACCAUGGUCGCCUGCGGGGUAGAGCAAAAUGAUAUUUUAGAACCAAGAAAAAAUUUGGCAUGACUUUCCCUAAAAAUAGGACCAAAAAGAAUGCUUAAUGCCAAAAUUCUCGCCGAAACGGAAAUGAAUCAACAUUCCGGCAAAAUAUUGGCAACUAUCGCAUUUCAAAUACUGGUACACCUCCAAACACAAACACAUAUGCAACACCACAAACAUAUGCAACACCACGAACAUACAUAGAUCUAGCUAGGCCAUAAAAAGUGCAUGUGCACAUUGUUGUAGGGAGAACAACAUAAAUAUAGCUUCCCCCUUACUUACCUAGCAAAACAAGGUAACUUAACCACUUAAUUUGAAUGAAUCUAUGGUGGAAAUGAGGUGAAAAAGAGGAGGCACCCGAGACAAGGAGGAGGCGGUGGAGAGAAUGAAGUGGGGAGAAAGUGAGUGUGGGAGGAGAGGCUGUCCAAAAUAUCUUGUUGCUGCCCACUUACUAAUGGCGCACCAGCAACAAAUGCGCCAUUAGUAAUCCAGGUUACCAAUGGCGCACCCCCUGGUGGUGCGCCAUUAGUACUUUUGCAAAAAAAGGAACAAAAACAAUAAUAAAAAAAUAACAUUAGUGGCGCACCUUCUGGCUGGUGUGCCAUUACUAGUUACAACUAGUAAUGGCGCACCACCAGUGGAUGCGCCAUUAGUAUGUUUGGACAGGCGCACUAGUUCAAAAAUAAAUAAAUUUGGUACUAAUGGCGCACCAUGGGCAGGGUGCGCUAUUAGUAGUUUCAACACUAAUGGCGCAUCAGAAGGUGGUGCGCCAUUAGUAUAUACUAAUGGCGCACCACAUGUCUGGUGCGCCAUUAGUGUCAUUUCCAUCUAUAGCCCUUUUCCUAGUAGUGUACUGUUUUCUUAAUGUCAAAUACAUAUUCCUCAGACUAUGAGAUUAUGCAACUCCCGGACACCGGAGGAAUACCUUGUGUGCUAUCAAACGUCACAACGUAACUGGGUGAUUAUAAAGAUGCUCUACAGGUAUCUCCGGAGGUGUUUGUUGGCUUGGCAUAGAUCGAGAUUAGGAUUUGUCACUCUGAGUAUCGGAGAGGUAUCUCUGGGCCCUCUCGGUAAUGCACAUCAUAUGAAGCCUUGCAAGCAAUGUGACUAAUGAGUUAGUUGCGGGAUGAUCCAUUACGGAACGAGUAAAGAGACUUGCCGGUAACGAGAUUGAACUAGGUAUGAAGAUACCGACGAUCGAAUCUCGGGCAAGUAACAUACCGAUGACAAAGGGAGUAACGUAUGUUGACAUUGCGGUUUGACCGAUAACGAUCUUCAUAGAAUAUCUGGGAACCAAUAUGAGCAUCCAGGUUCUGCUAUUGGUUAUUGACCGGAGAGGUGUCUCGGUCAUGUAUACAUAGUUCUCGAACUCGUAGGGUCCGUACGCUUAACGUUCGAUGACGAUAUGUAUUAUAUGAGUUAUGUGUUUUGGUGACCGAAGAUUGUUUGGAGUCCCGGAUGAGAUCACAGACAUGAUGAGGAGUCUCGAAAUAGUCGAGUGAUAAAGAUUGAUAUAUUGGACGAUAGUAUUCGGACAUCGGAAUGGUUCCAGAGUGUUUCGGGUAUUUAUCGGAGUACAGACGGGUAACCGGAACCUCCCGGGGAAGUAAUGGGCCAUAUGGGCCAUAGGGGAGAGGCAACGCAGCCCAGAAGGGGGUGCCCCCCCAAUGGGGAGUCCUAUUUGGACAAGGGGAGGGGGCGCGGCCCCCUUUCCUUCUCCCUCUCCCUCUCCUUCCCCAUUCCCCCCUCCGAUAGAAGGAAGGGGGACCAAAUAGGACUAGGAAUCCAAGUGGGAUUCCUCCCCACUUAGCGCGCCUAGGCCGGCCUCCUCCCAUCUCCCUCCUUUAUAUAUGGGGGGCACCCCUAGGAGACACAACAAUUGCUCUUAGCCGUGUGUGCCCCCCUCUCCACAGUUUAUGCCUUCGGUCAUAUUCUCGCGGUGCUUAGGCUAAGCCCUGUGUGGAUCACAUCACCAUCACCAUCACCACGCCGUCGUGCUAACAGAACUCAUCUACUCCUUCGACCCUCUGCUGGAUCAAGAGCUCGAGGGACGUCAUCAUGCUGAACCUGUGCAGAACUCGGAGGUGCCAUACAUUCGGUACUCGAUCGGUCGGAACGAGAAGAUGUUCGACUACAUCAACCGUGUUAAGCAAACACUUCCGCUUUCGGUCUAUGAGGGUACGUGGAUACACUCUCCUCCUCUCGUUGCUAUGCAUCUCCUAGAUAUAUCUUGCGUGAGCGCAGGAUUUUUUUUGAAAUUGCAUGCUAUGUUUCCCAAUAGUGGCAUCUGAGCCAGGUCUAUGCGUAGAUGAUACGCACGAGUAGAACACAAAGAGUUGUGGGCGGUGAUCAUCAUACUGCUUACCACCAAUGUCUUAUUUUGAUUCGGUGGUAUUGUUGGAUGAAGCGGCCCGGACCAACCUUACAUGACCACGUUCAUGAGACCGGUUCCACCGACAGACAUGCAACUAGUUUUGCAUAAAGGUGGUUGGAGGAUGUAUGUUUCUCCAACUUUAGUUGAAUCAAAUUCGACUGCAGCCGGUCCUUGUGAAGGUUAAAACAGCAAACUUGAUAAAUCACUGUUGUGGUUUUCGUGCCGUAGGUAAGUACGGUUCUUGCUAGAAGCCCGUAGCAGCCACGUAAAACUUGCAACAACAAAGUAGAGGAUGUCUAACUUGUUGGGAAACACAGUAAUUUCAAAAAAAAUCCUACGAUCACGCAAGAUCUAUCUAGGUGAUGCAUAGCAACGAGAGGGGAGAGUGUUGUCUACGUACUCUCGUAGACCGAAAGCGAAAGCGUUAUGAAAACGCGGUUGAUGUAGUCGUACGUCUUCACUAUCCGACCGAUCCUAGCACCGAAGGUACGACACCUUCGCCAUCUGCACACAUUCAGCUCGGUGACAUCCCACGAACUCUAGAUCCAGCUAAGGUCGAGGGAGAGUUUCGUCAGCACAAUGGCAAGAUGACGGUGAUGAUGAAGUUAUCGACGCAGGGCUUCGCCUAAGCACUAAUACGAUAUGACCGAGGUGGAAAUCUAUGGAGGGGGGCACCACACACGGGUAAACAAUCAACUUGUGUGUCUAUGGGGUGCCCCCUCCCCCGUAUAUAAAGGAGUGGAGGAGGGGAGGGCCGCCCCUCUCUAUGGGGCGCCCAAGGGGGGGGGGAGUCCUACUCCCAGUAGGAGUAGGUUUCCCGCCUUCCCUAGUUGGAGUAGGAGAAGAAGGAAAAGGGAGAGGGAGAGAAGGAAAGGGGACCGGCCCCCUUCCCAAUUCGGAUUGGGCUUGGGGGGCAUGCCCCCACCUUGGCCGCCUCCUCCUCUAUUCCACCAUGGACGCCUCCUCCUCUAUUCCACCAUGGCCCAUUAAGGCCCAUUAACUCCCCGGGGGGUUCCAGUAACCUCCCGGUACUCCAGAAAAAUGCUCGAACCACUCGGAACCUUUCCAGUGUUCAAACAUAGCCUUCCAAUAUAUCAAUCUUUAUGUCUCGGCCAUUUCGAGACUCCUCGUCAUGUCUGUGAUCACAUACGGGACUCCCAACAACCUUCGGUACAUCAAAACACAUAAACUCAUAAUACCGAUCAUCAUCGAACGUUAAGCGUGCGGACCCUACGGGUUCGAGAACUAUGUAGACAUGACCGAGACUCAUUUCCGGUCAAUAACCAAUAGAGGAACCUGGAUGCUCAUAUUGGUUCCUACAUAUUCUACGAAGAUCUUUAUCAGUCAAACCACAUAACAGCAUACAUUGUUCCUUUUGUCAUCGGUAUGUUACUUGCCCGAGAUUCGAUCGUCGGUAUCAUCAUACCUAGUUCAAUCUCAUUACCGACAAGUCUCUUUACUCGUUCUGUAAUACUUCAUCCCGCAACUAACUCUUUAGUUACAAUGCUUGCAAGGCUUAUAGUGAUGGGUAUUAUCGAGAGGGCCUAGAGAUACCUCUCCGAAACACGGAGUGACAAAUCCUAAUCUCGAUAUAUGCCAACCCAACAGACACCUUCAGAGACACAUGUAGAGCCCCUUUAUAAUCACCCUUUUUACGUUGUGACGUUUGGUAGCACACAAAGUGUUCCUCCGGUAUUCGGGAGUUGCAUAAUCUCAUAGUCUGUGGACCUUGUAUAAGUCAUGAAGAAAGCAGUAGCAAUGAAACUGACACGAUCAUAAUGCUAAGCUAACAGAUGGGUCAUAUCCAUCACAUCAUUCUCCUAAUGAUGUGAUCCCGUUCAUUAAAUGACAACACAUGUCUAUGGUUAGGAAACAUAACCAUCUUUGAUUAACGAGCUAAUCAAGUAGAGGCAUACAAGGGACUACAAGUUUUGUCUAUGUAUUCACACAUGUACUAAGUUUUCGGUUAAUACAAUUCUAGCAUGAAUAAUAAGAAUUUAUCAUGAAUUAAGGAAAUAAAUAAUAACUUUAUUAUUGCCUCUAGGGCAUAUUUCCUUCAGUAUCCCACUUGCACUAGAGUCAAUAAUCUAGAUUACAUAGUAAUGAUUCUAACACCCAUGGAGCUUUGGUGUUGAUCAUGUUUUGCUCGUGGAAGAGGCUUAGUCAAUAGGUCUACAACAUUCAGAUCCGUAUGUAUCUUGCAAAUCUCAAUGUCCCCUUCGACUCUUGAUGACGGAUGGAAUUGAAGCGUCUCUUGAUGUGCUUGGUUGUCUUGUGAAAUCUGGAUUCCUUUGCCAAGGUAAUUGCACCAGUAUUGUCACAAAAGAUUUUCGUUGGACCCGAUGCACUAGGUAUGACACCUAGAUGGGAUAUGAACUCCUUCAUCCAAACUCCUUCAUUUGUUGGUUCUGAAGCAGUAAUGUACUCUUCUUCACACGUAUAUCCCUCCACGACGCUCUGCUUGGAACUGCACCAACUGAUAGCUCCUCCAUUCAAUAAAAAUACGUAUCCGGUUUGCAACUUAGAGUCAUCCGGAUCAGUGUCAAAGCUUGCAUCAACGUAACUGUUUACGAUGAGCUCCUUUUCACCUCCAUAAACAAGAAACAUAUCCUUAGUCCUUUUCAGGUAUUUCAGGAUGUUCUUGACCGUUGUCCGGUGCUCCACUCCGGGAUUACUUUGGUACCUCCCUGCUAUGUUUAUAGCAAGACAUACAUCAGGUCUAGUACACAACAUUGCAUACAUGAUAGAACCUAUGGCUGAAGCAUAGGGAAUGACUUUCAUUUUCUCUCUAUCUUAUGCAGUGGUCGUGCAUUGAGUCUGACUCAACUUCACACCUUGUAACACAGGCAAGAACCCUUUCUUUGACUGAUCCAUUUUGAACUUUUUCAAAACUUUAUCAAGGUAUGUGCUUUGUGAAAGUCCAAUUAAGCGUCUUGAUCUAUAUUUAUAGAUCUUGAUGCCCAAUAUGUAAGCAGCUUCACCGAGGUCUUUCAUGGAAAAACUCUUAUUCAGAUAUCCCUUUAUGCUAUCCAGAAAUUCUAUAUCAUUUCUAAUCAACAAUAUGUCAUCCACAUAUAAUAUCAAAAAUGCUACAGAGCUCCCACUCACUUUCUUGUAAAUACAGGCUUCUCCAAAAGUCUGUAUAAAACCAUAUGCUUUGAUCACACUAUCAAAGCAUUUAUUCCAACUCCGAGAGCCAUGCACCAGUCCAUAAAUGGAUCGCUGGAGCUUGCACACUUUGUUAGCACCCUUUGGAUCGACAAAACCUUCUGGUUGCAUCAUAUACAACUCUUCUUCCAGAAAUCCAUUCAGGAAUGCAGUUUGGACAUCCAUUGCCAAAUUUCAUAAUCAUAAAAUGCAGCAAUUGCUAACAUGAUUCGGACAGACUUAAGCAUCGCUACGGGUGAGAAAGUCUCAUCGUAGUCAACUCCUUGAACUUGUCGAAAACCUUUCGCAACAAGUCGAGCUUUGUAAAUAGUAAUAUUAUCGUCUGUGUCGGUCUUCUUCUUAAAGAUCCAUUUAUUUUCUAUGGCUUGCCGAUCAUCGGGCAAGUCCACCAAAGUCCACACUCUGUUCUCAUACAUGGAUCCCAUCUCAGAUUUCAUGGCUUCAAGCCAUUUCACGGAAUCUGGGCUCAUCAUCGCUUCCUCAGAGUUCAUAGGUUGAUCAUGGUCUAGUAACAUGACUUCCAGAACAGGAUUACCGUACCACUCUGGUGCGGAUCUUACUCUGGAAGACCUACGAAGAUUGGUAGUAACUUGAUCUAAAGUUUCAUGAUCAUCAUCAUUAGCUUCCUCACUAAUUGGUGUAGGAAUCACUAGAACUGAUUUCUGUGAUGAACUACUUUCCAAUAAGGGAGAAGGUACAAUUACCUUAUAAAGUUCUAUUUUCCUCCCAAUCACUUCUUUCGAGAGAAACUCCUUCUCUAGAAAGGAUCCAUUCUUAGCAACAAAUAUUUUGCCUUCGGAUCUAUGAUAGAAGGUGUACCCAACAGUUUCCUUUGGGUAUCCUAUGAAGACGCACUUCUCCGAUUUGGGUUUGGGCUUAUCAGGUUGAAGCUUUUUCACAUAAGCAUCGCAACCCCAAACUUUAAGAAACGACAACUUUCGUUUCUUGCCAAACCACACUUCAUAAGGUGUCGUCUCAACGGAUUUUGAUGGUGCCCUAUUUAAAGUGAAUGCAGCCAUCUCUAAAGCAUAACCCCAAAACGAUAGCGGUAAAUCAGUAAGAGACAUCAUAGAUCACACUAUAUCCAACAGAGUAUGGUUACGAUGUUUGGGCACACCAUUUCAUUGUCGUGUUCCAGGUGAAGUUAAUUGUGAAACUAUCCCAUGUUGUUUCAAAUGAAGACCAAAAUCGUAACUCAAAUAUUCUCCUGCACGCUCAGAUCGUAGAAACUUUAUUUUCUUGUUACGAUGAUUUUCCACUUCACUCUGAAAUUCUUUGAACUUUUCAAAUGUUUCAGACUUAUGCUUCAUUAAGUACAUAUAACCAUAUCUGCUCAAAUCAUGUGUGAAGGUAAGAAAAUAAUGAUACCCACCACGAGCUUCAAUACUCUUUGGACCGCAUACAUUGGUAUGUAUUAUUUCCAACAAGUCAGUAGCUCGUUCUAUUGUUCCGGAGAAUGGAGUUUUCCUCAUCUUGCCCAUGAGGCACGGUUCGCAAGCACCAAGUGAUUCAUAAUCAAGUGAUUCCACAAGUCCAUCAGCAUGGAGUUUCUUCAUGCGCUUUAUACCGAUAUGACCCAAACGGCAGUGCCACAAAUAAGUUGCACUAUCAUUAUCAACUUUGCAUCUUUUGGCUUCAAUACUAUGAAUAUGUGUAUCAUCACUAUCGAUAUUCAACAAAAAUAGACCACUCAGCAAAGGUGCAUGACCAUAAAAGAUAUUACUCAUAUAAAUAGAACAACCAUUAUUCUCUGAUUGAAAUGAAUAACCGUCUCGCAUCAAACAAGAUCCAGAUAUAAUGUUCAUGCUCAACACUGACACCAAAUAACAAUUAUUCAGGUCUAAAUCUAAUCUCGAUGGUAGAUGUAGAGGUAGCGUGUCGACGGCGAUCACAUUGACCUUGGAACCAUUUCCCACGCGCAUCGUCACCUAGUCCUUAGCCAAUCUUCGCUUAAUACAUAGCCCCUGCUUCGAGUUGCAAAUAUGAGCAAUAGAACCAGUAUCAAAUACCCAGGCGCUACUGCGAGCAUUAGUUAAGUACACAUCAAUAACAUGUAUAUCAGAUAUACCUUUCACUUUGCCAUCCUUCUUAUCCGCCAAAUAAUUGGGGCAGUUCCGCUUCCAGUGACCAGUCCCUUUGUAGUAGAAGCACUCAGGUUCAGGCUUAGGUCCAGACUUG